AUGUGUAACCUGGUACUUUGCUCCUGAUAGACAAUUUCUUCCUUAGCGUAUUCUUCAACUACAGCAGCUGAGCAAUGCAAGGCAAAUGUAGUGCUUGGCUUGGCUCUUCUGGAGUUCCACCUGCAACAGGGAGAUGAUCAAAGUAUCGAAAGUCUGGCCUGAGCUGGGAAAUUCAGUAAUGGAGACUCAAUGAUUUGUUCAGUAGAAACCAGACUGUAUUCAGGUCUCCUCUGAGAUUAGAUGGCAAUGGCUACGGAAAGGAGCAGAGUUGGAAAAUGCUGUCCUUUGUAGCAGUUACUAAGGCAAGGCUCUUGUUUGUGUCCUGAACCCACCAUAUUCCAAGUCAAUAAGGUAACAAGCCAAAUCCAGUUGUUCAUCUCUAUACUUGUGUGCAUGUG
Molecule: long non-coding RNA, 398 nt
Filed under: Cyanistes caeruleus (blue tit)
Lineage: Eukaryota; Metazoa; Chordata; Aves; Passeriformes; Paridae
Description: lncRNA (ENSCCEG00000020299.1)
Source: RNAcentral